RNAcentral lists this ribosomal RNA (652 nucleotides) under uncultured bacterium. RNAcentral's name for it is "bacterial SSU rRNA". It matches the Rfam family "Bacterial small subunit ribosomal RNA", at positions 28 to 724 of the family's 1533-position model. The record is from RNAcentral.
AACGAACGCUGGCGGCAGGCUUAACACAUGCAAGUCGAACGCCCCGCAAGGGGAGUGACAGACGGGUGAGUAACGCGUGGGAAUCUACCUAGUUCUACGGAACAACAGUUGGAAACGACUGCUAAUACCGUAUACGCCCUAUGGGGGAAAGAUUUAUCGGAAUUAGAUGAGCCCGCGUAAGAUUAGCUAGUUGGUGGGGUAAUGGCCUACCAAGGCGACGAUCUUUAGCUGGUCUGAGAGGAUGAUCAGCCACACUGGGACUGAGACACGGCCCAGACUCCUACGGGAGGCAGCAGUGGGGAAUAUUGGACAAUGGGCGCAAGCCUGAUCCAGCCAUGCCGCGUGAGUGAUGAAGGCCUUAGGGUUGUAAAGCUCUUUCAGUGGGGAAGAUAAUGACGGUACCCACAGAAGAAGCCCCGGCUAACUUCGUGCCAGCAGCCGCGGUAAUACGAAGGGGCUAGCGUUGUUCGGAUUUACUGGGCGUAAAGCGCACGUAGGCGGUUUUGGUUAAGUCAGAGGUGAAAAUUCCCCGGGAGCUCAACUCCGGAACUGCCUUGAUACUGGCAAGCUAGAGUCCGGAAGAGGUAAGUGGAACUCCUAGUGUAGAGGUGGAAUUCGUAGAUAUUAGGAAGAACACCAGUGGCGAAGGCGG